RNAcentral lists this ribosomal RNA (540 nucleotides) under uncultured bacterium. RNAcentral's name for it is "bacterial SSU rRNA". It matches the Rfam family "Bacterial small subunit ribosomal RNA", at positions 777 to 1304 of the family's 1533-position model. The record is from RNAcentral.
AAUAGAUACCCUGGUAGUCCACGCCGUAAACGGUGGGCACUAGGUGUGGGCAACAUUCCACGUUGUCCGUGCCGCAGCUAACGCAUUAAGUGCCCCGCCUGGGGAGUACGGCCGCAAGGCUAAACUACAAAGGGGAAUUAGGACGGGGCCCGCACAAGCGGCGGAGCAUGUGGCUUAAUUCGACGCAACGCGAAGAACCUUACCAAGGCUUGACAUACACCGGAAGGCAUCAGAGAUGGUGCCCCCCUUGUGGUCGGUGUACAGGUGGUGCAUGGCUGUCGUCAGCUCGUGUCGUGAGAUGUUGGGUUAAGUCCCGCAACGAGCGCAACCCUUGUCCCGUGUUGCCAGCAACUCUUCGGAGGUUGGGGACUCACGGGAGACCGGCCGGGGUCAACGUCGGAGGAAGGUGGGGACGACGUCAAGUCAUCAUGCCCCUUAUGUCUUGGGCUGCACACGUGCUACAAUGGCCGGUACAAUGAGCUGCGAUACCGCAAGGUGGAGCGAAUCUACGAAAAAGCCGGUCUCAGUUCGGAUUGGGGU